GAUUUACCAAGCUCCUGAAUGUGAAGCAUUCCCAGGCAAGGCCCCCGCAGCUACCGCCAUCUGAAGAUGUCAUAAAUCUCUGUGUCUACAAAGGUGCUUUGCCAUAUAAAGACAUCUCAUGGAAGGUAUUGGGCUAACCAACCAAUGUAUUCCCCCUCUGAGGAAAUAUAAAAAUCCUGGUGGUUCAGAUGGGCAGAAUUGGAAUCAGCGAGGAGCUUAGUAAAUGUCCCUUUUAGCCAACAAAUUAACAACUACAACACUGAAAAUGUAUCUCAAACCUAUGUCCAGUGUUCUCAUGAGUGCAAUAACUCAAUGGAAGCUUUGGAAUCCGUGUAGUUGUCCGUCAGCCUGCUCAUCACUACCAAUUACACAGGAGCUAACUCACCACCUGCAUGAGGAUAAUAAUUGAAGACCUGCCAUAAACGCUGUGAUUCCUCCCAUCGUCAGCAUCCUCUGAUUUAAUUAGUCAUAGGAUACUGCUGGCAGCGCGUGUAAUUAAGAAGUAUCAGAUACUUAUGUCAUUGCUACUUACCUCGUUAUAGGCUGAGCGUCAAACUCAAUAAUGAGCAUUAUUCCAUUUAAUAUUUAUUUGACGCUCUUCAUCGCUAGAUCAUAUAAAUACACUAAGAUAUUCUGUUUAUAACUUAUAAUUACACGCCCAACACUUUACAUGUCAGAAUCACUCACAUCACAUAUCACAGUCCGUUACUGGUGAGCUCAUACUUUAGUCCCCUUGUCUCCUUACUGAUACAAUACAAUACUUUGUACAGCGUAAAUAGAGCGCUAAAGGAAAAAGAUAAGUAUA
This is a long non-coding RNA of Pseudophryne corroboree (corroboree frog), 805 nucleotides long. RefSeq lists it as uncharacterized. NCBI's taxonomy places the organism in Eukaryota, Metazoa, Chordata, Amphibia, Anura, Myobatrachidae. The transcript is spliced from 4 exons. The record is from RefSeq and is a predicted model, not a curated record.